CUUAUACGACCGUACCGCAAACCGACACUGGUGCGCGAGAUGAGUAUUCUAAGGCGCUUGAGAGAACUCAGGAGAAGGAACUCGGCAAAUUGACACCGUAACUUCGGAAGAAGGUGUGCCCUAUUAGUGUGUAGUGAACAACGAAGCAUGAAUGGGUUGCAAAAAAUCGGUGGCUGCGACUGUUUAUUAAAAACACAGCACUCUGCAAACACGAAAGUGGACGUAUAGGGUGUGACGCCUGCCCGGUGCUGGAAGAUUAAAUGAUGGGGUGCAAGCUCUUGAUUGAAGUCCCAGUAAACGGCGGCCGUAACUAUAACGGUCCUAAGGUAGCGAAAUUCCUUGUCGGGUAAGUUCCGACCUGCACGAAUGGCGUAACGAUGGCCACACUGUCUCCUCCUGAGACUCAGCUAAGUUGAAACGUUUGUGAUGAUGCAAUCUCCCCGCGGAAAGACGGAAAGACCCCAUGAACCUUUACUGUAGCUUUGUAUUGGACUUUGAACAGAUCUGUGUAGGAUAGGUGGGAGGCUUUGAAGCAGGGUCGCUAGAUCUUGUGGAGCCAACGUUGAAAUACCACCCUGGUGUGUUUGAGGUUCUAACCUAGGUCCAUUAUCUGGAUCGGGGACAGUGCAUGGUAGGCAGUUUGACUGGGGCGGUCUCCUCCCAAAGCGUAACGGAGGAGUUCGAAGGUACGCUAGUUACGGUCGGACAUCGUGACGAUAGUGCAAUGGCAUAAGCGUGCUUAACUGCGAGACUGACAAGUCGAGCAGAUGCGAAAGCAGGACAUAGUGAUCCGGUGGUUCUGUAUGGAAGGGCCAUCGCUCAACGGAUAAAAGGUACUCUGGGGAUAACAGGCUGAUACUGCCCAAGAGUUCAUAUCGACGGCGGUGUUUGGCACCUCGAUGUCGGCUCAUCUCAUCCUGGGGCUGUAGCCGGUCCCGAGGGUAUGGCUGUUCGCCAUUUAAAGAGGUACGUGAGCUGGGUUUAAAACGUCGUGAGACAGUUUGGUCCCUAUCUUCCGUGGGCGCUGCAGAUUUGAGGAAGCCUGCUCCUAGUACGAGAGGACCGGAGUGGACACACCUCUGGUGUAUCGGUUGUCACGCCAGUGGCAUUGCCGAGUAGCUAAGUGUGGAAGAGAUAACCGCUGAAAGCAUCUAAGCGGGAAACUCGUUUCAAGAUGAGAUCUGCCGGGGCCUUGAGCCCCCUAAAGAGUCGUUCAAGACCAGGACGUUGAUAGGUCAGGUGUGGAAGUG
This 1250-nucleotide ribosomal RNA is filed under the name metagenome. RNAcentral describes it as "bacterial LSU rRNA". It matches the Rfam family "Bacterial large subunit ribosomal RNA", at positions 1633 to 2875 of the family's 2925-position model. The record is from RNAcentral.